AGCUUCAGUAGCGUAUAUUAAAGUUGUUGCAGUUAAAAAGCUCGUAAUAGCAUUUCUGGCGAGAGGAUCCGGUCCGACCUUUUGGUGGGUUCUUGGGUCUCUUUCGCCAUCCUUGAGUGGUCCGUUCUGGCAUUAGGUUGUCGGAGCGUCAGCCGCUCAUCGUUUACUGUGAGAAAAUUAGAGUGUUCAAAGCAGGCUUAUGCCGUUGAAUAUAUUAGCAUGGAAUAAUAAGAUAGGACCUCGGUACUAUUUUGUUGGUUUGCGCACCAAGGUAAUGAUGAACAGGGACAGUUGGGGGUAUUUGUAUUUCGUUGUCAGAGGUGAAAUUCUUAGAUUUACGAAAGACAAACUACUGCGAAAGCAUUUACCAAGGAUGUUUUCA
This 382-nucleotide ribosomal RNA is filed under the name uncultured marine Chaetocerotaceae. Its description in RNAcentral is "SSU rRNA". It matches the Rfam family "Eukaryotic small subunit ribosomal RNA", at positions 587 to 972 of the family's 1831-position model. Lineage: Eukaryota; Bacillariophyta; Thalassiosirophyceae; Chaetocerotales; Chaetocerotaceae. The record is from RNAcentral.